This 1128-nucleotide ribosomal RNA is filed under the name Leuconostoc mesenteroides. Its description in RNAcentral is "bacterial SSU rRNA". It matches the Rfam family "Bacterial small subunit ribosomal RNA", at positions 24 to 1141 of the family's 1533-position model. The record is from RNAcentral. Lineage: Bacteria; Bacillati; Bacillota; Bacilli; Lactobacillales; Lactobacillaceae.
GAAGGCGCAGCGUUGGCAUCGCGCGUCGCUCGCGCAGCGUAAGGUGCUUGCACCUUUCAGUGAGUGUAAAACGGGUGAGUAACACGUGGACAACCUGCCUCAAGGCUGGGGAUAACAUUUGGAAACAGAUGCUAAUACCGAAUAAAACUUAGUGUCGCAUGACACAAAGUUAAAAGGCGCUUCGGCGUCACCUAGAGAUGGAUCCGCGGUGCAUUAGUUAGUUGGUGGGGUAAAGGCCUACCAAGACAAUGAUGCAUAGCCGAGUUGAGAGACUGAUCGGCCACAUUGGGACUGAGACACGGCCCAAACUCCUACGGGAGGCUGCAGUAGGGAAUCUUCCACAAUGGGCGAAAGCCUGAUGGAGCAACGCCGCGUGUGUGAUGAAGGCUUUCGGGUCGUAAAGCACUGUUGUAUGGGAAGAACAGCUAGAAUAGGAAAUGAUUUUAGUUUGACGGUACCAUACCAGAAAGGGACGGCUAAAUACGUGCCAGCAGCCGCGGUAAUACGUAUGUCCCGAGCGUUAUCCGGAUUUAUUGGGCGUAAAGCGAGCGCAGACGGUUUAUUAAGUCUGAUGUGAAAGCCCGGAGCUCAACUCCGGAAUGGCAUUGGAAACUGGUUAACUUGAGUGCAGUAGAGGUAAGUGGAACUCCAUGUGUAGCGGUGGAAUGCGUAGAUAUAUGGAAGAACACCAGUGGCGAAGGCGGCUUACUGGACUGCAACUGACGUUGAGGCUCGAAAGUGUGGGUAGCAAACAGGAUUAGAUACCCUGGUAGUCCACACCGUAAAACGAUGAACACUAGGUGUUAGGAGGUUUCCGCCUCUUAGUGCCGAAGCUAACGCAUUAAGUGUUCCGCCUGGGGAGUACGACCGCAAGGUUGAAACUCAAAGGAAUUGACGGGGACCCGCACAAGCGGUGGAGCAUGUGGUUUUAAUUCGAAGCAACGCGAAGAACCUUACCAGGUCUUGACAUCCCUUUGAAGCUUUUUAGAGAUAGAAGUGUUCUCUUCGGAGAACAAAGUGACAGGUGGUGCAUGGUCGUCGUCAGCUCGUGUCGUGAGAUGUUCGGGUUAAGUCCCGCAACGAGCGCACCCUUAAUUGUUUAGUUGCCAGCAUUCAAAAGGGCACUCU